CAAAGAUUAAGCCAUGCAAGUGUCAGUUCAUGCCGAAAAUAAGGUGAAACCGCGAAUGGCUCAUUAAAUCAGUUAUAAUUUACAUGGUGGCAUUACUUUUACAGUUACUUGGAUAACUGUGGCAAUUCUAGAGCUAAUACAUGCACACGAGUCCCGACCGUUCGCGCGGAAGGGAUGCUUUUAUUAGAUCAAAAUCAAUCGGGAAAUUGUACGUAUGUCUCGUGGUAUAUACCACGAUCAUAUUACAAUUAUACCCCGUGAAGUCUUGGUGACUCUGGAUAAAUUUUGGCUGAUCGCAAGGUCUUUUAGCACCUGCGACGCAUCAUUCAAAUGUCUGACUUAUCAACUAUCGACGGUAUGCCACGUGCCUACCGUGGUGGUCACGGGUGACGGGGAAUCAGGGUUCGAUUCCGGAGAGGGAGCCUGAGAAACAGCUACCACAUCCAAGGAAGGCAGCAGGCGCGCAAAUUACCCACUCCCGGCACGGGGAGGUAGUGACGAAAAAUAACGAUGCAGGACUCUAUAACGAGGCUCUGCAAUCGGAAUGAGAAAACUCUAAAUCAUUUACCGAGUAUCCAUUGGAGGGCAAGUCUGG
This 595-nucleotide ribosomal RNA is filed under the name Heteromenopon psittacum. RNAcentral's name for it is "bacterial SSU rRNA". It matches the Rfam family "Eukaryotic small subunit ribosomal RNA", at positions 38 to 564 of the family's 1831-position model. The record is from RNAcentral. Lineage: Eukaryota; Metazoa; Arthropoda; Insecta; Psocodea; Menoponidae.